RNAcentral lists this ribosomal RNA (288 nucleotides) under uncultured bacterium. RNAcentral describes it as "partial 16S ribosomal RNA". It matches the Rfam family "Bacterial small subunit ribosomal RNA", at positions 335 to 621 of the family's 1533-position model. The record is from RNAcentral.
UCCCUACGGGAGGCAGCAGUGAGGAAUAUUGGUCAAUGGCCGAGAGUCUGAACCAGCCAAGCAGCGUGAAGGAUGACUGCCCCAUGGGUUGUAAACUUCUUUUAUAUGGGAAUAAAAUGUUCCACGAGUGGGAUUUUGUAUGUACCUUAUGAAUAAGGAUCGGCUAACUCCGUGCCAGCAGCCGCGGUAAUACGGAGGAUCCGAGCGUUAUCCGGAUUUAUUGGGUUUAAAGGGAGCGCAGGCGGUUUGUUAAGUCAGUUGUGAAAGUUUGCGGCUCAACCGUGAACU